RNAcentral lists this ribosomal RNA (241 nucleotides) under uncultured bacterium. RNAcentral describes it as "partial 16S ribosomal RNA". It matches the Rfam family "Bacterial small subunit ribosomal RNA", at positions 117 to 353 of the family's 1533-position model. The record is from RNAcentral.
GUGGGUAACCUGCCUUAUAGUGGGGGAGUAGCCUUUCGAAAGGAAGAUUAAUACCGCAUAAGAUUGUAGUAUCGCAUGAUAUAGCAAUUAAAGGAGCAAUUCGCUAUAAGAUGGACCCGCGUCGCAUUAGCUAGUUGGUGAGGUAAUGGCUCACCAAGGCGACGAUGCGUAGCCGACCUGAGAGGGUGAUCGGCCACAUUGGGACUGAGACACGGCCCAGACUCCUACGGGAGGCAGCAUG